UGUAGCCGGGUCGGCAAGUCAGAUGUGAAAUCUGGAGGCUCAACCUCCAAACUGCAUUUGAAACUGCUGAUCUUGAGUAUCGGAGAGGUAAUCGGAAUUCCUUGUGUAGCGGUGAAAUGCGUAGAUAUAAGGAAGAACACCAGUGGCGAAGGCGGAUUACUGGACGACAACUGACGGUGAGGCGCGAAAGCGUGGGGAGCAAACAG
RNAcentral lists this ribosomal RNA (206 nucleotides) under uncultured Oscillibacter sp. RNAcentral's name for it is "partial 16S ribosomal RNA". It matches the Rfam family "Bacterial small subunit ribosomal RNA", at positions 570 to 775 of the family's 1533-position model. Lineage: Bacteria; Bacillati; Bacillota; Clostridia; Eubacteriales; Oscillospiraceae. The record is from RNAcentral.